This is a non-coding RNA of Bombyx mori (domestic silkworm), 81 nucleotides long. NCBI's taxonomy places the organism in Eukaryota, Metazoa, Arthropoda, Insecta, Lepidoptera, Bombycidae. The record is from Rfam.
UUAACUCGAAUUUGUAUGGAGUUGGAAUAUCUGCCUAUGUUUGCCGCUAGGGGUGUUCCAACUGAAUACAAAUUUUAGUUA